CAGCAUGAGCAUGCCUGCUUUUUGCCGUCAGUAGCAAAAGCCAUCCAAAUAGCUCUUUGUCUGCCACCAACAACUUGCACCAUCGAGCGAUCAUUCAGCACUCUCAAACGUGUGAAGACCUGGAUAAGGAAUACGAUGUCGAACAAUCGUCUAAGUGGGCUAUGCCUGUUAUCUGUACACAGAAGAAAAAUAAAAGAAAAUAUAGAAAACUUCAUGCAGAAAGUAAUUGAUUUAUUUGCGAUGGACACCAGAAGAAUUCAAUUAUUAUUUAAGUAACAUUUUACUGACACUAACCGUGUUGCGUUUUAAACAGCAAAACAAUUUUUCUUGUA
This is a long non-coding RNA of Diabrotica virgifera virgifera (western corn rootworm), 332 nucleotides long. RefSeq lists it as uncharacterized. The transcript has 2 exons. Lineage: Eukaryota; Metazoa; Arthropoda; Insecta; Coleoptera; Chrysomelidae. The record is from RefSeq and is a predicted model, not a curated record.